GACGAACGCUGGCGGCGUGGAUUAGGCAUGCAAGUCGAACGGUAUCAUCCUUUCGGGGGUGAGAGAGUGGCGAACUGGUGAGUAACACGUAGGUUAUCUACCCUCAAGACGGGGACAACCCAGGGAAACUUGGGCUAAUACCGGAUGUGAGCAACUUUUAGUUGUUUGAAAGGUGGCGUAAGCUGUCGCUUGGGGAUGAGCCUGCGUCCUAUUAGCUAGUUGGUGAGGUAACGGCUCACCUAGGCAAUGAUAGGUAGGCGGCCUUAACGGGUGGUCGCCCACACUGGGAUUGAGAUACGGCCCAGACUCCUACGGGAGGCAGCAGUCGAGAAUAGUCUACAAUGGUCGGAAGACUGAUAGUGCGACGCCGCGUGAACGAUGAAUCCCUUCGGGGUUAAAGUUCUUUUAUAUGUGAGCAGUGCUUCUUAUAUUAACAGUAUGGGGAAGAGAUAUUAGCAUAUGAAUAAGCAACGGCUAACUCCGUGCCAGCAGCCGAGGUAAAA
Molecule: ribosomal RNA, 503 nt
Filed under: uncultured bacterium
Lineage: Bacteria
Description: bacterial SSU rRNA
Rfam family: Bacterial small subunit ribosomal RNA
Source: RNAcentral